AAGAACAGUUCAUUCCAAUCGAGAAUCUCCAGAGAUACUUUAAGUGUGUCUCAACUUGCUUUCCUAAAAGCUUCAGCUGCAAACACACGUCACAAAGAACACUGGCAAUCAACAAAUUAUCUGACACCUGAUCAAUCACUCAACUUCGACUGCCCUCUUAAAAGUUUGCAAUGACAUCCAAAUUGGCAUGGAACAAGGAGACUUAACUGGAGCCA
Molecule: non-coding RNA, 215 nt
Organism: Pelobates cultripes (western spadefoot toad)
Lineage: Eukaryota; Metazoa; Chordata; Amphibia; Anura; Pelobatidae
Source: the annotation of a GenBank genome assembly